Molecule: ribosomal RNA, 105 nt
Filed under: Ailuropoda melanoleuca (giant panda)
Lineage: Eukaryota; Metazoa; Chordata; Mammalia; Carnivora; Ursidae
Source: RNAcentral
GUCUCUAGCUAUACCACCCUGAAUAUGCCUGAUCUCUUCUGAUCUCAGAAGCUAAGCAGGGUCAGGCCUGGUUAGUACUUGGAAGGGAGAAAGGAACUAGAUUUA